Molecule: long non-coding RNA, 857 nt
Filed under: Mus musculus (house mouse)
Lineage: Eukaryota; Metazoa; Chordata; Mammalia; Rodentia; Muridae
Description: predicted gene, 30788
Source: RNAcentral
GUGCUCACCCCAGAGACGGAUGGAUCACACCGUUGAAAUUUUCUCCAUGUGUGUGACUCAUUUGUGUGCAUCUAUGUACAGCAGGUAUUCUCCAAUUGCUGCUAACUGGUGCCAUAGAGAAAAAGUCACACUCCGCACCUUGUGAGAGAAGCUACUCCAGGUGAGAAGCCACUCUUGAGGCUCCAGGUGAGAAGCCACUCUUCCGGGUCUGUGUUAGGAACCAUUCUUCAGGUUCCACGUUUGAAAAGCCAGCUCUUCCGGUUCUGUGUCAAGAGUCACCUCUUCAGGUUCUACGUUCAAAGCCACUCUUCAGGGACUGUGUGAGAAGCCACGCUUCAGGCUCCACUCUUCCCUCAGGCUCCUGCCAGCACGGGCUGAACAGCUAUGCCACAGUUCUUCACGAAAAUGAACCGAGAUCUAAACCAGGAUUCCCUCCUUUAAGUUGUUUCUGGUUGACAAAAUUCAUCAUCGCGGGAGCUGUGUUUUGAAAGUGCCUGAAAGUGACAGAAGCUCCUUCCUUCCAGCACUUGGUGACCCAAGCACCAAGACCACCCCUUGCCAGCCUCCAUCAGAGGCCCCGAGCAUCAGGGAUACACUUCUGCAAGAGACACGUCAACCCAGAGGUUUCAGCUGCAGCCCUAGGGAUCCCUGAAGUUCUACAGAGGAGAAUUAGUGAGACACUGAAGGAAACCAGCGAUGCUUGAGGUCUCCCAGCCCUGUCUCAGCCAGAAUGGCUGGGAUACUACUGUAAUUGAAUACGGGUACCCUAUAUACUUUUGUUUAUAGAAAGGGUUCUGUGUCACUAAAACGUUUAUAAAACAUGUGUCUGUACUAAUAAAUUUUAUAAUGGAAACAAA